AGAGUUUGAUCAUGGCUCAGAUUGAACGCUGGCGGCAGGCCUAACACAUGCAAGUCGAACGGUAGCACAGAGAGCUUGCUCUUGGGUGACGAGUGGCGGACGGGUGAGUAAUGUCUGGGAAACUGCCCGAUGGAGGGGGAUAACUACUGGAAACGGUAGCUAAUACCGCAUAACGUCUACAGACCAAAGUGGGGGACCUUCGGGCCUCACGCCAUCGGAUGUGCCCAGAUGGGAUUAGCUAGUAGGUGGGGUAACGGCUCACCUAGGCGACGAUCCCUAGCUGGUCUGAGAGGAUGACCAGCCACACUGGAACUGAGACACGGUCCAGACUCCUACGGGAGGCAGCAGUGGGGAAUAUUGCACAAUGGGCGCAAGCUGAUGCAGCCAUGCCGCGUGUAUGAAGAAGGCCUUCGGGUUGUAAAGUACUUUCAGCGGGGAGGAAGGCGAUGGGGUUAAUAACCCCGUCGAUUGACGUUACCCGCAGAAGAAGCACCGGCUAACUCCGUGCCAGCAGCCGCGGUAAUACGGAGGGUGCAAGCGUUAAUCGGAAUUACUGGGCGUAAAGCGCACGCAGGCGGUCUGUCAAGUCGGAUGUGAAAUCCCCGGGCUCAACCCGGGAACUGCAUUCGAAACUGGCAGGCUAGAGUCUUGUAGAGGGGGGUAGAAUUCCAG
Molecule: ribosomal RNA, 672 nt
Filed under: Erwinia tasmaniensis
Lineage: Bacteria; Pseudomonadati; Pseudomonadota; Gammaproteobacteria; Enterobacterales; Erwiniaceae
Description: bacterial SSU rRNA
Rfam family: Bacterial small subunit ribosomal RNA
Source: RNAcentral